CUACGGGACGCACCAGUGAGGAAUUUUGCGCAAUGGGGGAAACCCUGACGCAGCAACGCCGCGUGAGCGAAGAAGGCCUUCGGGUCGUAAAGCUCUGUCAAGUGGGAAAAAAAUCUUUUGAUCAAUAGUCAAAAGACUUGAUGGUACCACUGGAGGAAGCACCGGCGAACUCCGUGCCAGCAGCCGCGGUAAUACGGAGGGUGCAAGCGUUGUUCGGAUUUACUGGGCGUAAAGAGCGUGUAGGCGGUUUAGCAAGUCAGAUGUGAAAGCCCUGGGCUCAACCCGGGAAGUGCAUUUGAAACUGCUUCACUAGAGUAUGGGAGAGGGGAUUGGAAUUCCUGGUGUAGAGGUGAAAUUCGUAGAUAUCAGGAGGAACACCCGUGGCGAAGGCGAUUCUCUGGACCAAUACUGACGCUGAGACGCGAAAGCGUGGGGAGCAAACAGGAUUAGAUACCCGGGUAGUC
Molecule: ribosomal RNA, 464 nt
Filed under: uncultured bacterium
Lineage: Bacteria
Description: partial 16S ribosomal RNA
Rfam family: Bacterial small subunit ribosomal RNA
Source: RNAcentral